Molecule: ribosomal RNA, 465 nt
Filed under: uncultured bacterium
Lineage: Bacteria
Description: partial 16S ribosomal RNA
Rfam family: Bacterial small subunit ribosomal RNA
Source: RNAcentral
GACGAACGCUGGCGGCGUGCUUAACACAUGCCAGUCGUACGGUAAGGCCCUUUCGGGGGUACACGAGUGGCGAACGGGUGAGUAACACGUGAGUAACCUGCCCACAACUUUGGGAUAACGCUAGGAAACUGGUGCUAAUACUGGAUAUGUGCUCCUGCUGCAUGGUGGGGGUUGGAAAGCUCCGGCGGUUGUGGAUGGACUCGCGGCCUAUCAGCUUGUUGGUGGGGUAGUGGCCUACCAAGGCGGCGACGGGUAGCCGGCCUGAGAGGGUGACCGGCCACAUUGGGACUGAGAUACGGCCCAGACUCCUACGGGAGGCAGCAGUGGGGAAUAUUGCACAAUGGGCGCAAGCCUGAUGCAGCAACGCCGCGUGCGGGAUAACGGCCUUCGGGUUGUAAACCGCGUUCAGCAGGGACGAAGCUUUUUGUGACGGUACCUGCAGAAGAAGCACCGGCUAACUACGUG